RNAcentral lists this ribosomal RNA (497 nucleotides) under uncultured bacterium. RNAcentral describes it as "partial 16S ribosomal RNA". It matches the Rfam family "Bacterial small subunit ribosomal RNA", at positions 28 to 507 of the family's 1533-position model. The record is from RNAcentral.
GAUGAACGCUGGCGGCGUGCCUAAUACAUGCAAGUCGAGCGAACGGACGAGAAGCUUGCUUCUCUGAUGUUAGCGGCGGACGGGUGAGUAACACGUGGAUAACCUACCUAUAAGACUGGGAUAACUUCGGGAAACCGGAGCUAAUACCGGAUAAUAUUAUGAACCGCAUGGUUCAAAAGUGAAAGACGGUCUUGCUGUCACUUAUAGAUGGAUCCGCGCUGCAUUAGCUAGUUGGUAAGGUAACGGCUUACCAAGGCAACGAUGCAUAGCCGACCUGAGAGGGUGGUCGGCCACCCUGGAACUGAGACACGGUCCAGGCUCCUACGGGAGGCAGCAGUAGGGAAUCUUCCGCCAUGGGCGAAAGCCUGACGGAGCAACGCCGCGUGAGUGAUGAAGGUCUUCGGAUCGUAAAACUCUGUUAUUAGGGAAGAACAUAUGUGUAAGUAACUGUGCACAUCUUGACGGUACCUAAUCAGAAAGCCACGGCUAACUACGUG